GUCAGUUUGGCCGAGUGGUCUAAGGCGUCAGACUUGAAAUCUGAUGGGGUCUCCCCGCGCAGGUUCAAACCCUGCAGCUGACG
Molecule: transfer RNA, 83 nt
Filed under: Blastocystis sp. ATCC 50177/Nand II
Lineage: Eukaryota; Bigyra; Opalinata; Blastocystidae
Description: Blastocystis sp. ATCC 50177 tRNA
Rfam family: tRNA
About the family: Transfer RNA (tRNA) molecules are approximately 80 nucleotides in length. Their secondary structure includes four short double-helical elements and three loops (D, anti-codon, and T loops). Further hydrogen bonds mediate the characteristic L-shaped molecular structure. tRNAs have two regions of fundamental functional importance: the anti-codon, which is responsible for specific mRNA codon recognition, and the 3' end, to which the tRNAs corresponding amino acid is attached (by aminoacyl-tRNA synthetases). tRNAs cope with the degeneracy of the genetic code in two manners: having more than one tRNA (with a specific anti-codon) for a particular amino acid; and 'wobble' base-pairing, i.e. permitting non-standard base-pairing at the 3rd anti-codon position.
Source: Rfam by way of RNAcentral